GCCUAGCCCUAAACCUUGGUAAUAUAUCACACACCCUACCCGCCUGGGAACUACGAGCACCAGCUUAAAACCCAAAGGACUUGGCGGUGCUUUAGACCCCCCUAGAGGAGCCUGUUCUAGAACCGAUAACCCCCGUUCAACCUCACCCUUCCUUGUUUAUCCCGCCUAUAUACCGCCGUCGUCAGCUUACCCUGUGAAGGCCUAAAAGUAAGCACAACUGGCACAACCCAAAACGUCAGGUCGAGGUGUAGCGCAUGGAGGGGGAAGAAAUGGGCUACAUUCCCUAUAUUAGGGAACACGAACGGCGCACUGAAACACGCGCCUGAAGGAGGAUUUAGUAGUAAGCGGAAAAUAGCGUGUUCCGCUGAAAUCGGCCCUGAAGCGCGC
Molecule: ribosomal RNA, 387 nt
Filed under: Sebastes auriculatus (brown rockfish)
Lineage: Eukaryota; Metazoa; Chordata; Actinopteri; Perciformes; Sebastidae
Also listed under: 3 other names
Description: partial 12S ribosomal RNA
Rfam family: Bacterial small subunit ribosomal RNA
Source: RNAcentral